RNAcentral lists this unclassified non-coding RNA (391 nucleotides) under soil metagenome. RNAcentral describes it as "partial contains 5.8S ribosomal RNA, internal transcribed spacer 2, and large subunit ribosomal RNA". The stretch from base 1 to 122 matches the Rfam family "5.8S ribosomal RNA", at positions 35 to 154 of the family's 154-position model. The record is from RNAcentral.
GAUGAAGAACGUAGCGAAAUGCGAUACUUGGUGUGAAUUGCAGAAUCCCGUGAACCAUCAAGUCUUUGAACGCAAGUUGCGCCCGAAGCCACUAGGCCGAGGGCACGCCUGCCUGGGCGUCACACGCCGUUGCCCCCCCAUCUACUCCUUCGGGAUUGCGGGGGGGCGGAUGAUGGCCUCCCGUGCGCCUAGCCGCGCGGUUGGCAUAAAUACCAAGUCCUCGGCGACGCACGCCACGACAAUCGGUGGUUGCGAAACCUCGGUUGCCCGUCGUGUGCGUUCGUCGCGCAUCGAGGGCUCGAAAAAAUGCUCGGCUCCGGCUGGGCUUUCAACGCGACCCCAGGUCAGGCGGGGUUACCCGCUGAAUUUAAGCAUAUCAAUAAGCGGAGGA